Molecule: ribosomal RNA, 464 nt
Filed under: uncultured bacterium
Lineage: Bacteria
Description: partial 16S ribosomal RNA
Rfam family: Bacterial small subunit ribosomal RNA
Source: RNAcentral
GAUGAACGCUGGCGGCGUGCUUAACACAUGCAAGUCGAACGAUGAAGCUCAGCUUGCUGGGUGGAUUAGUGGCGAACGGGUGAGUAACACGUGAGUAACCUGCCCUUAACUCUGGGAUAAGCCUGGGAAACUAGGUCUAAUACCGGAUAGGAGCGUCCACCGCAUGGUGGGUGUUGGAAAGAUUUAUCGGUUUUGGAUGGACUCGCGGCCUAUCAGCUUGUUGGUGAGGUAAUGGCUCACCAAGGCGACGACGGGUAGCCGGCCUGAGAGGGUGACCGGCCACACUGGGACUGAGACACGGCCCAGACUCCUACGGGAGGCAGCAGUGGGGAAUAUUGCACAAUGGGCGAAAGCCUGAUGCAGCGACGCCGCGUGAGGGAUGACGGCCUUCGGGUUGUAAACCUCGUUCAGUAGGGAAGAAGCGAAAGUGACGGUACCUGCAGAAGAAGCACCGGCUAACUACG